RNAcentral lists this long non-coding RNA (1776 nucleotides) under Homo sapiens (human). RNAcentral's name for it is "HSALNT0330546". The record is from RNAcentral. Lineage: Eukaryota; Metazoa; Chordata; Mammalia; Primates; Hominidae.
CAGAUUCAGUGUCUGGGACCCUUAAGGUUGAAGAUUCUGAUAUUCUGACAUAGUAGCAGCAAAAGCCAUCUCCCAUGUAACCACAUGCUUCAGGAGAAGCUGACCCUACACCUAGCUCCACUGAAAACCAUAAGAAAGGAAUGUCAUGCCUAUAAUUGCUGCAGCUAUUUUAAUUCCAAGUAUGAGGUUGAAACAAUCAUGGAUGGCCAAGUGAAGAGAUGGAAAAAGCAGGAUUCAGGAUAACUUUAUUUUUUUGGAAGAUGACCAAAAUGCUAUCUCUAUUUGGAGAUAAUAAUUAGUCUCAUCUUCAUUGGCUUCUUCUCGAAUGCGGAGGGAAUUAUCGGAUGAGUACAUUGGAACAUGGUCGCCAUGUGGCCUGCUGCCCCCGUGUACCACUUGGAGACCAGCCUAGCAUGGAAAUGACCAGAUGUUGGAAGCUGAGCUACUGCUCAAGGUAUUAAUGCUUGAAAGAUAUUCCAUGUUUGAAGGGAUUUUUGUGGUGCUGGCCUACAAGUUGACCUUUUUGACGUGAAUAAGAAACAUUCUUCAAAACUGUGGUUGACAUCCAAGCUUGCUGUCAUGUUUUGAACUGCCCUAUGGAGAAAGCAACAUGGCUAAGAAUAUGAGAGAGCCAACAGGACAAUGAGGACCUCAAUACAGCAAGAAACCAAAUCCUGCCAACAACCAUUUCUCAGAUUCUGAAGACCAGGACUCCUCAUGAAUCUGUCAGCCCCCCUCACCCCAGCUCUGGGCCUCUGUGUCACCACCACUGCCACCUCAUCAUUAUUUUAUUUCAUGCCAGUCACUAGACUAAACACCUUACAGGCUUUAUCACAUUUAAUUCCUUCAGCAACACCAACAGGCACUCACAUCUCUACCCCACCAGCAGCGUCUUAGAGGCAGUGAGAACUCUAUUUUAGAAGAUGAGUACUCCAUCAUGUAACUACCUAUGACCACAAGCAAAGUCUGGAAAAGCAGGCGAAAGGUGCAUGAAUACUGGGCACCAGAUGCUGAAUCCAUAGCAGGAAUGUUAGCAUGGGGUUGUUUAAAAAACAUCCUGUGGGAAAGGGAUUCUGCCAGAAGCCAAGUUACCCCAACAGAAUAAGCCUAUAAGAUGUGGCCUUCCAGAAAACAAACAGGCUGAGGACAGAAGUGGGAAGAAUUCACAUAAAGGGGAACUUUUGCCUGCAUCAAGGGAAUAGCAGACAGGGUGAUCCAGCAGGAGAGCCACUGAAGUCACUCCAAAGUGUUCUGAAAAUGAAGACACAGCUUCACACCCUUGCCAGGCCUAGAGCCCAGAGCCAUCUCCCAAUAGCGCCAGACAAUGGCUGGUGUGGCUUUACCUCACUUUGGAGAGGAUACAUGGUGAUGCUGACCUCCAGGGCCAGCUGCUUGGCUUGCCAAGACAGUGUCCUCAGAGACUGUGCAUGCAGACCCACAGCCUACCUGCCCUGCCCCCGGGUCCUUGCUCUGUCUUUAGCCAGCCUUUGUGGGCGUUCACUUCCCAGCACUACGAGGGAGGCUGACUGGCCUAUUUCCUCCUGACUCAAGGAAGGUUUGCUUGCUGAAAGAUUAUCCAGAAAAGAAGAAAUUUGAACACAGAGAGAGACAUGCACAUGAAAAAGGUGAUGUAAAGAGAUGAAGGAGGUGACAGCCAUCUAUAAACCAAGGAGAGAGCCUGAAACCUUUCUUUUACGGCCCUUUGAAGGAACCAACCCUGCUGACAGCUUGAUUUUGGAUUUCUAGUCUCUAGAACUUAAAGACAAUAAAUUUUUG